Molecule: transfer RNA, 76 nt
Filed under: Falsirhodobacter algicola
Lineage: Bacteria; Pseudomonadati; Pseudomonadota; Alphaproteobacteria; Rhodobacterales; Paracoccaceae
Also listed under: 1 other name
Description: tRNA-Lys
Rfam family: tRNA
About the family: Transfer RNA (tRNA) molecules are approximately 80 nucleotides in length. Their secondary structure includes four short double-helical elements and three loops (D, anti-codon, and T loops). Further hydrogen bonds mediate the characteristic L-shaped molecular structure. tRNAs have two regions of fundamental functional importance: the anti-codon, which is responsible for specific mRNA codon recognition, and the 3' end, to which the tRNAs corresponding amino acid is attached (by aminoacyl-tRNA synthetases). tRNAs cope with the degeneracy of the genetic code in two manners: having more than one tRNA (with a specific anti-codon) for a particular amino acid; and 'wobble' base-pairing, i.e. permitting non-standard base-pairing at the 3rd anti-codon position.
Source: RNAcentral
GGGCCUAUAGCUCAGUUGGUAGAGCAACUGACUUUUAAUCAGUGGGUCGCAGGUUCGAAUCCUGCUGGGCUCACCA